CCUGGGUGGCUGCAGUAGGGAAUAUUGGACAAUGGGCGAAAGCCUGAUCCAGCCAUGCCGCGUGAUAGAUGAAGGCCCUCUGGGUUGUAAAUAUCUUUUAUCUGGGAAGAAACAAUCUUAUUCUUAAGAUCUUGACGGUACCAGAGGAAUAAGCACCGGCUAACUCCGUGCCAGCAGCCGCGGUAAUACGGAGGGUGCAAGCGUUAUCCGGAUUCACUGGGUUUAAAGGGUGCGUAGGCGGGCCGAUAAGGAAAGCGCCGAGCUUAACUUGGAAACUGCCAUUGAUACUGCCAGUCUUGAAUGUCGUAGAGGUAAGCGGAAUGUUGCAUGUAGCGGUGAAAUGCUUAGAUAUGUUACAGAACACCAAUUGCGAAGGCAGCUUACUAUGCGAUGAUUGACGCUGAGGCACGAAAGCGUGGGGAGCAAACAGGAUUAGAUACCCGUGUAGUC
This 450-nucleotide ribosomal RNA is filed under the name uncultured bacterium. RNAcentral describes it as "partial 16S ribosomal RNA". It matches the Rfam family "Bacterial small subunit ribosomal RNA", at positions 338 to 795 of the family's 1533-position model. The record is from RNAcentral.